Molecule: ribosomal RNA, 275 nt
Filed under: Ixodes scapularis (black-legged tick)
Lineage: Eukaryota; Metazoa; Arthropoda; Arachnida; Ixodida; Ixodidae
Description: eukaryotic small subunit ribosomal RNA
Rfam family: Eukaryotic small subunit ribosomal RNA
Source: RNAcentral
GGAGCCUGCGGCUUAAUUUGACUCAACACGGGAAAACUUACCCGGCCCGGACAUGGGGAGGAUUGACAGAUUGAGCGCUCUUCUUUGAUUUGGUGGAUGGUGGUGCGAUUUGUCUGGUUAAAUCCCAUAAGGAACGAGACUCUAGCCUAUUAAAUAGGUGCGUGGUUCUCUGCGCCUUAAACCCUCCUUAGAGGGUAAGCGGCUCCUAGCCGCACGAAACAGAGCAAUAACAGGUCUGUGAUGGCCUUAGAUGUCUAGGGCCGCACGCGCGCUAC